RNAcentral lists this ribosomal RNA (253 nucleotides) under uncultured bacterium. RNAcentral describes it as "partial 16S ribosomal RNA". It matches the Rfam family "Bacterial small subunit ribosomal RNA", at positions 524 to 776 of the family's 1533-position model. The record is from RNAcentral.
GACGUAGGGGACGAGCGUUGUCCGGAUUCAUUGGGCGUAAAGAGCGCGUAGGCGGUUUGGUAAGUCGGACGUGAAAAUCCGGGGCUCAACCCCGGACGUGCAUCCGAAACUGCCCGACUAGAGGUAGGUAGGGGAGAUCGGAAUUCCUGGUGUAGCGGUGAAAUGCGCAGAUAUCAGGAGGAACACCGGUGGCGAAGGCGGAUCUCUGGGCCUUACCUGACGCUGAGGCGCGAAAGCUAGGGGAGCAAACAGG